Molecule: ribosomal RNA, 320 nt
Filed under: uncultured Prevotella sp.
Lineage: Bacteria; Pseudomonadati; Bacteroidota; Bacteroidia; Bacteroidales; Prevotellaceae
Description: bacterial SSU rRNA
Rfam family: Bacterial small subunit ribosomal RNA
Source: RNAcentral
GAUGAACGCUAGCUACAGGCUUAACACAUGCAAGUCGUGGGGCAGCAUGAAGGAAGCUUGCUUCCUUUGAUGGCGACCGGCGCACGGGUGAGUAACGCGUAUCCAACCUUCCCCUUACUAGAGGAUAGCCCGGCGAAAGUCGGAUUAAUACUCUAUGUUCUCCUUUGCAGGCAUCUAAGGAGGAAUAAAGGUUUACCGCUAUGGGAUGGGGAUGCGUCUGAUUAGGUUGCAGGCGGGGUAACGGCCCACCUGGCCAACGAUCAGUAGGGGUUCUGAGAGGAAGGUCCCCCACACUGGUACUGAGACACGGACCAGACUCC